CACAUCAUGGCUUCGCUGCUUCGAUUUGAAAAAUAGUGGAGGGAGAUGAGUCCGAGACUUAGAGCAAAAGCUUCCAAAGUAUGGGAGUAUUUCAGGCCAACUGGUAAAAGAUUUGUCUGUACACUCUGUCAAACUUCACUUGGAAACACACAGGAGUUGUUCAAGACGUACGGAGCGUUUUUUUCUCUCCUCCAUGUCACCUCAGGGGCUCCGUAAAGAUGCACCCACAGAAAAGGAAAAUACAACGAAGCAGUACGCCGUCUUCACAACUCGGAGACAAAUUGUAGCAGGCGCUAUGAACCGGAGCAAGGGCCAUGACCUAUAUUUGCUCGGAGCUAUGUCUGCAAGUCCAGAU
This is a long non-coding RNA of Perca fluviatilis (European perch), 355 nucleotides long. RefSeq lists it as uncharacterized. NCBI's taxonomy places the organism in Eukaryota, Metazoa, Chordata, Actinopteri, Perciformes, Percidae. The transcript is spliced from 3 exons. The record is from RefSeq and is a predicted model, not a curated record.